CAGUGGGGAAUAUUGGACAAUGGGCGAAAGCCUGAUCCAGCAAUGCCGCGUGAGUGAUGAAGGCCUUAGGGUUGUAAAGCUCUUUUACCAGGGAUGAUAAUGACAGUACCUGGAGAAUAAGCUCCGGCUAACUUCGUGCCAGCAGCCGCGGUAAUACGGAGGGAGCUAGCGUUGUUUGGAAUUACUGGGCGUAAAGCGCACGUAGGCGGCUUUUUAAGUCAGGGGUGAAAUCCCGGGGCUCAACCCCGGAACUGCCCUUGAAACUGGAAAGCUAGAAUACUGGAGAGGUGAGUGGAAUUCCGAGUGUAGAGGUGAAAUUCGUAGAUAUUCGGAAGAACACCAGUGGGGAAGGGGACUCACUGGACAGUUAUUGACGCUGAGGUGCGAAAGCGUGGGGAGCAAACAG
This 406-nucleotide ribosomal RNA is filed under the name uncultured bacterium. RNAcentral describes it as "bacterial SSU rRNA". It matches the Rfam family "Bacterial small subunit ribosomal RNA", at positions 352 to 775 of the family's 1533-position model. The record is from RNAcentral.